GCGCCGCUAGCUCAGUUGGUUAGAGCAGCUGACUCUUAAUCAGCGGGUCCGGG
This 53-nucleotide transfer RNA is filed under the name Streptomyces turgidiscabies Car8. It matches the Rfam family "tRNA", at positions 1 to 51 of the family's 71-position model. Rfam says of the family: Transfer RNA (tRNA) molecules are approximately 80 nucleotides in length. Their secondary structure includes four short double-helical elements and three loops (D, anti-codon, and T loops). Further hydrogen bonds mediate the characteristic L-shaped molecular structure. tRNAs have two regions of fundamental functional importance: the anti-codon, which is responsible for specific mRNA codon recognition, and the 3' end, to which the tRNAs corresponding amino acid is attached (by aminoacyl-tRNA synthetases). tRNAs cope with the degeneracy of the genetic code in two manners: having more than one tRNA (with a specific anti-codon) for a particular amino acid; and 'wobble' base-pairing, i.e. permitting non-standard base-pairing at the 3rd anti-codon position. Lineage: Bacteria; Bacillati; Actinomycetota; Actinomycetes; Kitasatosporales; Streptomycetaceae. The record is from Rfam by way of RNAcentral.